GCCUCGGUGGUGGAACUGGUAGACGCAGCGGACUCAAAAUCCGCCGCCGCAAGGCGUGCCGGUUCGAUUCCGGCCCGAGGCACCA
This 85-nucleotide transfer RNA is filed under the name Pseudomonadota bacterium. Its description in RNAcentral is "tRNA-Leu". It matches the Rfam family "tRNA". Rfam says of the family: Transfer RNA (tRNA) molecules are approximately 80 nucleotides in length. Their secondary structure includes four short double-helical elements and three loops (D, anti-codon, and T loops). Lineage: Bacteria; Pseudomonadati; Pseudomonadota. The record is from RNAcentral. RNAcentral also lists the same sequence under 7 other names.